GACGAACGCUGGCGGCGUGCUUAACACAUGCAAGUCGAACGGAAAGGCCCUGCUUUUGUGGGGUGCUCGAGUGGCGAACGGGUGAGUAACACGUGAGUAACCUGCCCUUGACUUUGGGAUAACUUCAGGAAACUGGGGCUAAUACCGGAUAGGAGCUCCUGCUGCAUGGUGGGGGUUGGAAAUUUUCGGCGGUCGGGGAUGGACUCGCGGCUUAUCAGCUUGUUGGUGGGGUAGUGGCUUACCAAGGCUUUGACGGGUAGCCGGCCUGUGAGGGUGACCGGCGACAUGGGGACUGAGAUACGGCGCAGAGUCGUACGGGAGGCAGCAGUGGGGAAUAUUGCACAGUGGGAGGAAGCCUGAUGCAGCAACGCCGCGUGCGGGAUGACGGUCUUCGGGUUGUGAACCGCUUUCGCCUGUGACGAAGCGUGAGUGACGGUAAUGGGUAAAGAAGCACCGGCUAACUACGUG
Molecule: ribosomal RNA, 468 nt
Filed under: uncultured bacterium
Lineage: Bacteria
Description: partial 16S ribosomal RNA
Rfam family: Bacterial small subunit ribosomal RNA
Source: RNAcentral